AGAGUUUGAUCCUGGCUCAGGAUGAACGCUGGCGGCGUGCCUAACACAUGCAAGUCGAACGGAAUUUACAUGAAGCCUAGCGAUUGUAAAUUUAGUGGCGGACGGGUGAGUAACGCGUGGGUAACCUGCCUUGUACUGGGGGACAACAGUUGGAAACGACUGCUAAUACCGCAUAAGCGCACGGCUUCGCAUGAAGCAGUGUGAAAAACUCCGGUGGUACAAGAUGGACCCGNGUCUGAUUAGCUGGUUGGUGAGGUAACGGCCACCAAGGCGACGAUCAGUAGCCGGCCUGAGAGGGUGAACGGCACAUUGGGACUGAGACACGGCCCAAAAUCCUACGGGAGCA
Molecule: ribosomal RNA, 346 nt
Filed under: uncultured bacterium
Lineage: Bacteria
Description: bacterial SSU rRNA
Rfam family: Bacterial small subunit ribosomal RNA
Source: RNAcentral